This 338-nucleotide ribosomal RNA is filed under the name uncultured Pseudomonadota bacterium. RNAcentral's name for it is "bacterial SSU rRNA". It matches the Rfam family "Bacterial small subunit ribosomal RNA", at positions 29 to 351 of the family's 1533-position model. Lineage: Bacteria; Pseudomonadati; Pseudomonadota. The record is from RNAcentral.
AACGAACGCUGGCGGCGUGCUUAACACAUGCAAGUCGAACGGGAAAGUUCCUUCGGGGACCUAGUACAGUGGCGCACGGGUGAGUAACACGUAGGUGAUCUACCCUUCGCUGGGGAAUAACCCCGGGAAACCGGAGCUAAUUCCGCAUACGUCUCUUAAGUUUCGACUUAAGAGGGAAAGGUGGCCUCUCCAUGGAAGCUAUCGGCGAAAGAUGAGCCUGCGUAUCAUUAGCUAGUUGGUGAGGUAAUGGCUCACCAAGGCUUCGAUGAUUAGCUGAUCUGAGAGGAUGAUCAGCCACACUGGAACUGAAACACGGUCCAGACUCCUACGGGAGGCAG